Salvelinus namaycush (lake trout) is the source of this 423-nucleotide long non-coding RNA. RefSeq lists it as uncharacterized. The record is from RefSeq and is a predicted model, not a curated record. The transcript has 3 exons. Lineage: Eukaryota; Metazoa; Chordata; Actinopteri; Salmoniformes; Salmonidae.
UGUCAGACAAGAGACAGAGUCGGUGGAUCGGACCUACGCAGAGCCAAAGUGUCUCCUACCAUAGAGGGAAGGCUGGACUCCAACUUAACGACAACACAGACAAGAGACACUCCUACCCUGGAUUGGAGAGGCUGACGGUGAACACCAGCCGAGAGCCUUCGUCUAACAGAAACAGUGAUUAUGACUCUUAUAACUUGUGAUCAUCAUCAUCAUCAUCAUCGUCAUCAGUCAUAUCCUUCAUUCACUAUGACAAUAUACUGUACAUGUAUUUUUCAUAUUUUAUUCUAUUUUUUAUAUUUUGUUAUAUUUUUUAUGCUAAAUGUAAUAUUUUUUUAAGCACAUAAUAUCAUUUUUGGGGGGGUUUUUGUACGUAAUUCAGUCAUUUACUUCUUUUAUUGAAUAAAUGUAAAGUUUGUUGUUGAA